AGCAAAAAAGUGUAGCAUCAGGCUCCAAAGCAUAUGUUCAGUUGAAAGUAUUACCUCAAGGGUGUGUCUCUCAAAUGUACAGUUGGGUCCAGCCUUUCCUGAUGGACAUGCAAACACUUGCCCUCUAAUGGAGUAGCAUAUAUGUGUCUUAUUGUCUUGAAUUUUUCCAAGAUUAGUAGGUAUGAUGUAGAAAAACCACCGCCCAAGCUUUGGUGAGUUAAUUACUAAAGGAGCUUUUUCCAAGUCAACGGAAUAAUCGUGCAACGCCACCAAAGGCAUUGCACCAUUCCGAGCAUAACACAUUAACGAUAUAUGACUGGCAUCGUCAUUUGAGUUAGCACUGAUAUUUUGAGCCAAUAUAGACAAUUCUUCGGCUAAAUCCAUCACACCUAAUGAAAACACUUUUUGUUCACCCACUCCAUGGCAAGAAAUCCCAAAGUCGUCACAGGAAAUUGCACUUUGAGUUUUAUUGAUGCCCGCAUUCAAAAGGCUAUAGUUGUUAGACAAAGAACAAGAAAGUGGAUUGAUCGUCUGAUUACAGUAUUGACCCCACAUUGUCGUAGUUAUGCACCCAUCAACGCUGAUGUUGGCACUAAAGGAGUAAUUUUGUCUGCGUACAAUCUAUAAAGUCAAAAGGAUCUCAUCAGCUAUUAAAUAGGUUAACUUAGAGGAAAUUACAGGAAUUAUAGCCCAUUAGUCCAGUGAAUGGAAAGAAGAAUCAGAAAGAAAAUAUAUUAAUACAUGUGCAGAGGUAUCAACUAUGUUGACAUAACAACACAAGAUGAAUCCUACAGUUCUUGUGGAACAAUCUUGUUGGAUUCCCAAAUUUUACGCACAUUCUAAGACAAUUGUCAAACUUUUCCUUCAAAAUUAUUAAUUUGGUGAUUUUAGCUAUGGUCAGUGUGUUUAGCCAUGCCAGAUACAGCAGGCUUGUAUAUCUCAUCUUCAAAACACCAGACCAACAGCAAUGUAUCAUUUGAUGUUUAACUUCAUAAUUGCAGGGUUAUUUCCAUUGGAAUAAUUCAUUGGUCCUCUUAACCAUCCAGUACUAUAAUUCUACUGAAUUGCAUCUAUCCCCCUAAGCAAUUUGAAUACGAUAACAGUAGCACAUUCAAAAGACAUAAAUAAACAUAGAUAAGCACAGAUAAUGCCCAGCUAUUUGCAUUUACUCGUUAAUUUAGAUAAAAUAUACCAUUUUGGAUUGUGCCCUGGUUGCCCCAAUCCCAUUGAAUGCGCCUAGAUACCAGACUCCAGGAGACACCUGAGAACAAACCCAUAAGCUUACUUCUGUCAACUGUUAUUACACAAAAGCACUCUGCGACAUUAAGAAACUAGAUAACCACUUGCAUAACAACAAGUAGCAAGAUAAGAAAUAAAAGAAAAAACUUGCUUCAAUGAAGUAGUGAUAAGCUAUUAGCCAUCUUCCAGUAGAAAAACUGAUGUGUUAACUUGAAAAUUCAAAAUUGGCAUUUGACACCACUGGAAAGUAUACCAAACCUGCUCAUUUGUCACCCUCACAGUCAGGUUUUUCUGCAUUGGGAAGCAGUCCACAUUCUGAGAGCCUUGAAUACUUUCAAAUGCUGCAUUAGAGAGAGGACCUUAUAGCACAAAACAAGAUCUAAUUCAGCCUUCCAUUAAAUACGAGAAACCAGGGAACUAAACUCAAAUCAGUUGGGUGAGGAAGCAGAUAGAGAAAGUUGCUACCAAGGUAACUUGGCAGAUUUAAUUAGCAAAGAAUUAAGGUCAAAUUUAAAUAGGUUCAAGAGUAGAACUGAAAGUGCAAUUUAUACCUCACUUGAUUGUAUGACGGAACUGUUUAAGACAUCAGGGAGAGGGGGACUGCCGUCUCUCAGACAAAUAAUCAGACUAGAUGCCUUGCUCCCUGCACCCUAUAAAAAUAGGAAUUAUGAACUGUAAUCAGCAUAAAUAUAAAGUGUGGAGGUUUGUUACAAUUCUGUCAGACUGAUGAAACAGUUGAGAGCAUAUCUGCAUACAAAGUCAUUUUUUUCUACCAAGAUAUUAACAUUACAUUAGCAUCAAUGUGCUAGGAGGGAAUGACAUAAUAAUAACUAACUCGAUUGGCCAUCAGAAUAUGCCACUGUGUUCCGUACCUAGAAAUGAUUAAUUUUUCAAAUAACACUUACAGCUUGCACAUCUGAGUCCAGUGCAAUGGAAAUAGAAGAGAACCAUGGUGGCAAUUCAACUGGUACAAUGCAGAAUAACAAAAUGUAAGUCAAGAAACUAUAAGCAGUGACACAUAAGAAGCAUCUUAAAUUAGUAGUAGCAACCUAGUCCUUGCUCAGACAAUAAUGAGAGAGGGGUCAGUACUUGUCAUCGUAGAAGAUAUACCAGAACAAAGGUUAACUCCCUCAUUAACAAAUAACAUUAUGUAUAAUAUUUAUAAUGAUCAUUCAAUAACAUCAAAUAUAAAACAAUGGCAUAUAAAACUAUGAUUUAUCCUUCCAGAAUCCAGAGAAAGAGUACUUUAUACCCAUGAAAGGUUGGUACCUAGCAACUCGCGAUCACCCUCUAACAACCAAAACAGGUCCAAACAGACGCACAAGAGAAGCUAAAGGAUUUUGAUCGCAACCCAAAUAACGAUAGCCGCCCAAAAACCCCACAAAACCCCAACUUGGAGCUCAAUCAGCGAAAAUGUUAAUCUGGGUUGUUCUUGUUUGCAAUAUUCUUCGAAAUUACGAUUUAGAGAGACAGAUUAAGGUAAGCAAGAGCCAGCAAUAGCAAGACGUACCCCUGAUAUAACGCAAGUCAUAAGGUUUGACCAGAGUCUGAGGGUAUCUGAAGCUGGAAACAGUAGAAGUAUCGGAGAAAGGCAGUUGCUAGCUGUUUAUUGUAGAAGAAAGUAGCAGGAGCAGCAGACAUCUGCUUAGUAGAAUUGUCCGACAGCUGAGAAUCGAAUUCCCAGCCAUUGAAACUCCUUUUCUGAAAGCUGCAGGGGAGGGAGGGAGGGAUGAAAAUGAUUGAUUGGUGUCUAUUCUGAUUCUGAAUAUGUAGAAAGAACGUUGAUGGUGGUGACUGGGUAAAUUGAAUUCACGCCUCACAUUUCACACCAACUCAACUCUCCAAACAAACAAAUUUAAAAACCAACAUUUCCUUUUAUUUUACCUCGUUUAACCUCGCUGAUAGCGUGAAUAAGCAUGGAUGGCCAGUUGAAGUUUCCUCAAGUACGGUAGAGGAGGUUGUGUUCUUGUUUCAAUAUUGUUAGAAUAUGAUUUUCUCUCCUCAACACAGAGGGCAAAAUCAUUUUUAAAAGUUGGUUGUAUACAUAUACAUUUGUAAUAAUGAUGGUAUUAUUUCUCUCACCUUAACUCACCUAAACAAGUUAGGAAAAUAGAUCACACAUUUUUUAGGACAUUCUUUAGGAGUCCACACGAGUCAUUCAUACAUUGAUGCAACAUUCACGGUUUUUUUACAGAGAAAACAUCAUUUUAUUGAUACAUGAGGUGUCUAAAUAGGAGGUGCAAUCCUCAUCAACAAGGCUAACAUGAAUCGUGGGUCCUUAUAAAAACAAGUGACCUCAAUUUUUUCUCUCCAACAAACAAACACCCUAAACGAAAAGACCCUCCGGAAACAAGUUUAAGGAUAACCUAGGACCACAAACAAUCAACAAAAGAAAAUAGUUCUAAACAACCAAAUUGACAACUACCACUACUGAAAUCAAAGAAACCUAGCGUUGGGUGUGCACACAUCCUGAUUGGAACCACGGUUAGGACCUUAGCUGUCUUAUACUAUCUUAUCAGUGCGAUGGACCGGUCCCCAUCUGUUGAGCUGCUGAUGGUGAAGAGGCAGAUCCCGGAUUGAGCUUCUUUGUUGAGUUCGUGGCCUGAUGCCAUGUGACGGUGGCAGCACGUUCGAUCUGCGGGGUCGGGGCGGGUGUUGCGGUCAGUGUCGUUCCUCCAACGACGGGAGUGGUAUCGGAAGGAAAGGUACAAGGACAGGUGUCGGAGGUUCCGCGAUUGCUCGAUUCUGACUGACAGUGGUGGGGAGACGAGUGUGGUGCUGGGGGAGACGAUGGUCUUGGUGGUGGUAACGGUGAUGGGGUUUCAGGAGGUAGGGUGCGGCUGCAAUAUCAUGUUGGCGGCGAUUAGGGUUACGCUCUCAUGCGAGAGAUAUCUUAGGCAGUUAGACAGUCACGGUAUUAUAAUAACAUUUGAUAUUAAAUGAAUUAGGAUUUCAUUUUUCAUUUUAAAAUGAAUUAUUGUGUAGAAUUCAUUGUAAAAAAUGAUGAUUUAUAUAACUAUACCAAAACCUCCAAAUAAGAUCGAGGAAAAAAAACCUCCAAAUGAUGAUUUCAACAUUCA
This 4319-nucleotide long non-coding RNA is filed under the name Linum usitatissimum (flax). RNAcentral describes it as "long non-coding RNA (LUSI_LNC003763)". Lineage: Eukaryota; Viridiplantae; Streptophyta; Magnoliopsida; Malpighiales; Linaceae. The record is from RNAcentral.